This 417-nucleotide ribosomal RNA is filed under the name Acidobacteria bacterium Ellin7176. RNAcentral describes it as "bacterial SSU rRNA". It matches the Rfam family "Bacterial small subunit ribosomal RNA", at positions 32 to 457 of the family's 1533-position model. RNAcentral also lists the same sequence under 1 other name. Lineage: Bacteria; Pseudomonadati; Acidobacteriota. The record is from RNAcentral.
AAUCAACGCUGGCGGCGUGCCUAACACAUGCAAGUCGAACGAGAAAGUGGUAGCAAUACCAUGAGUAAAGUGGCGCACGGGUGAGUAACACGUGACUAACCUACCCUUGAGUGGGGGAUAACUGAGGGAAACCUUAGCUAAUACCGCAUAAUACCCACGGGUCAAAGGAGCAAUUCGCUCGAGGAGGGGGUCGCGGCCGAUUAGUUAGUUGGCAGGGUAAUGGCCUACCAAGACGAUGAUCGGUAUCCGGCCUGAGAGGGCGCACGGACACACUGGAACUGAAACACGGUCCAGACUCCUACGGGAGGCAGCAGUGGGGAAUUUUGCGCAAUGGGGGAAACCCUGACGCAGCAACGCCGCGUGGAGGAUGAAGUCCUUCGGGACGUAAACUCCUUUCGAUCGGGACGAUUAUGACGG